GCGGUGGGUUAUAUUCCAAAGAAGAAUCGAAUCCACUACUCUGGACCUUUGAUGCCACCUGGUGGAAACAUUGACGAAAUGCUGAAAGAGCAUGAGAAACAAAUUCAGCAGGCUGUCCGUAAAGCUCGUAUUGACAGAAACAAGAUAAGAAAGGAACACACUGACAAUGGGCAAACAGAAUCUCUCUUACACUAUACAACCAAUGGUCGGUGACUUGUAGAGGAGCAAGAAG
This 232-nucleotide unclassified non-coding RNA is filed under the name Hevea brasiliensis (rubber tree). The record is from RNAcentral. Lineage: Eukaryota; Viridiplantae; Streptophyta; Magnoliopsida; Malpighiales; Euphorbiaceae.